AGAGUUUGAUCCUGGCUCAGAAUCAACGCUGGCGGCGUGCCUAACACAUGCAAGUCGCACGAGAAAGGGUAGCAAUACCUGAGUAAAGUGGCGCACGGGUGAGUAACACGUGAAUGAUCUACCUCCGAGUGGGGAAUAACUGAGAGAAAUCUUGGCUAAUACCGCAUAACACUUACGAGUCAAAGCAGCAAUGCGCUUGGAGAGGAGUUCGCGGCAGAUUAGCUAGUUGGCGGGGUAAUGGCCCACCAAGGCGAUGAUCUGUAUCCGGCCUGAGAGGGCGCACGGACACACUGGAACUGAAACACGGUCCAGACUCCUACGGGAGGCAGCAGUGGGGAAUUUUGCGCAAUGGGGGAAACCCUGACGCAGCAACGCCGCGUGGAGGAUGAAGCCCCUUGGGGUGUAAACUCCUUUCGAUCGGGAAGAUAAUGACGGUACCGAUAUAAGAAGCCCCGGCUAACUUCGUGCCAGCAGCCGCGGUAAUACGAGGGGGGCAAGCGUUGUUCGGAAUUAUUGGGCGUAAAGGGUGCGUAGGCGGUUUGGCAAGUCUUAUGUGAAAUCUAUGGGCUCAACCCAUAGCCUGCAUGAGAAACUGCCGGGCUUGAGUAUGGGAGAGGUGAGUGGAAUUUCCGGUGUAGCGGUGAAAUGCGUAGAUAUCGGAAGGAACACCUGUGGCGAAAGCGGCUCACUGGACCAUAACUGACGCUGAGGCACGAAAGCUAGGGGAGCAAACAGGAUUAGAUACCCUGGUAGUCCUAGCCCUAAACGAUGAUUGCUUGAUGUGGCAGGUACCCAAUCCUGCCGUGUCGAAGCUAACGCGAUAAGC
Molecule: ribosomal RNA, 826 nt
Filed under: uncultured bacterium
Lineage: Bacteria
Description: bacterial SSU rRNA
Rfam family: Bacterial small subunit ribosomal RNA
Source: RNAcentral